GGCCGGGGCCCUGCACCGGAAGGGAGGGCGGAAGCCACGGGACGUGGAGCAGAUGGUGAGGAUAGUGGGGAAGGUAGCCGCAGAGGAUGACCCGAGGCAAAAGUGCAAGUGAGGAAAAGUCGCCUUGCCGGGCAGAGGUACCGGACCAAGGCGCCUCCUCUGGGCUGAGGAGUUAGAGGGAAGAAAAUGGCGCCCUGUCAUGAGGGCGCGAGGUCCGAGUUGAGGGGAGAAGACUGAGGGGCACAGAAGUGGCCGAAGUGAGGGCGCUGAGGUCAGCCUGAGCUGAGAGGGCCGGCAGAUCACGCCGCAGCCGAAGUGAACGAACUCGAGUGAGCUCUUCUCUUUUUCAGGAAAUUACUCCAGGAUUUGAAUCAUCACAAGAGAUUCACCAGAGGAUUUUAUACACUUGGGCUGUGGCAGCAGACUAAUUACACCACAGCACUAGGCUAAAGAAGAAAAAUCACAUGAUCAUAUCAAUAGAUGCAGAAAAAGCAUCUGACAAAAACCAGCUCUCAUUCAUGAUCAGAACUCUCAGCAAACUAGUAAUAGAGGGGAACUUACUCAACUUGAUA
This 572-nucleotide non-coding RNA is filed under the name Pan troglodytes (chimpanzee). Lineage: Eukaryota; Metazoa; Chordata; Mammalia; Primates; Hominidae. The record is from RNAcentral.